ACUUAAACCCUUUUCAAAACAACUAUUCUUUUCACAAAAUAACUUUUAUAAUCUGUUUCUUAGCAGUCAGACUAAAAGCUUGGAGUGUCCGAACUAGGAUCAAACAAGCUAAUAUCUACACACUUCUAGGAUACGGUUACAAUUUUUCCUUAAGAACAACCGACACACACUUAUUUUCUACUAUGAACUAUAGAGCUUUGAUUUCCUUAUUGAACUAUGAGAAUACGUAUGCACGAG
RNAcentral lists this long non-coding RNA (237 nucleotides) under Lathyrus oleraceus (garden pea). RNAcentral's name for it is "Pisum sativum (pea) long non-coding RNA (PSAT_LNC018186)". The record is from RNAcentral. Lineage: Eukaryota; Viridiplantae; Streptophyta; Magnoliopsida; Fabales; Fabaceae.